CACCGCGGUUAUACGAAAGGCCCCAGUUGAUAGCUACGGCGUAAAGGGUGGUUAGGAGGAAUAGAUAAAUAAAGUCAAAGAUUCUCUAGGUAUUAAUAAGCGCUACGAGAACAUGAAGCCCAAUCACGAAAGUAACUUUACCGUAUCCGACCCCACGAAAGCUGAGAAA
This 169-nucleotide ribosomal RNA is filed under the name Hyphessobrycon eos. RNAcentral's name for it is "partial 12S rRNA". Lineage: Eukaryota; Metazoa; Chordata; Actinopteri; Characiformes; Acestrorhamphidae. The record is from RNAcentral.